RNAcentral lists this ribosomal RNA (441 nucleotides) under uncultured bacterium. Its description in RNAcentral is "partial 16S ribosomal RNA". It matches the Rfam family "Bacterial small subunit ribosomal RNA", at positions 338 to 795 of the family's 1533-position model. The record is from RNAcentral.
CCUACGGGAGGCAGCAGUGGGGAAUAUUGCACAAUGGGCGCAAGCCUGAUCCAGCAACGCCGCGUGAGUGAAGAAGGUUUUCGGAUUGUAAAGCUCUGUUAGUAGAGGAGAGGAGGGACGGUAGCUGCAGAGGAAGUCAGGGCUAACUACGUGAGAGCAGCCGCGGUACUACGUAGGUGGCAAGGGUUGUUCGGAGUAACGGGGGGUAAAGGGUGUGUAGGGGGUUAAAGAAGUUAUAUGUUAAAUAUAUAGGCUUAACCUGUAGAACGCAUAGAAAACUGGUUAACUAGAGUGCAGGAGAGGUAAGUGGAAUUCCUGGUGUAGCGGUGAAAUGCGUAGAGAUUAGGAAGAACACCAGUGGCGAAGGCGGCUUACUGGACUGUAACUGACGCUGAGGCAUGAGAGCGUGGGGAGCAAACAGGAUUAGAUACCCUUGUAGUC